UACGGGGGGUGCAAGCGUUGUUCGGAAUUACUGGGCGUAAAGGGCUCGUAGGUGGCCAACUAAGUCAGACGUGAAAUCCCUCGGCUUAACCGGGGAACUGCGUCUGAUACUGGACGGCUUGAGUUUGGGAGAGGGACGCGGAAUUCCAGGUGUAGCGGUGAAAUGCGUAGAUAUCUGGAGGAACACCGGUGGCGAAGGCGGCGUCCUGGACCAACACUGACACUGAGGAGCGAAAGCCAGGGGAGCAAACGGG
This 253-nucleotide ribosomal RNA is filed under the name uncultured bacterium. RNAcentral describes it as "partial 16S ribosomal RNA". It matches the Rfam family "Bacterial small subunit ribosomal RNA", at positions 524 to 776 of the family's 1533-position model. The record is from RNAcentral.